Molecule: ribosomal RNA, 292 nt
Filed under: uncultured bacterium
Lineage: Bacteria
Also listed under: 1 other name
Description: partial 16S ribosomal RNA
Source: RNAcentral
GGACUACACGGGUAUCUAAUCCCGUUCGCUCCCCUGGCUUUCGCGCCUCAGCGUCAGAAGGGGUCCAGCACGCCGCUUUCGCCACCGGCGUUCCUUCGGAUAUCUACGCAUUUCACCGCUCCACCCGAAGUUCCGCAUGCCCCUACCCCCCUCAAGAGACCCAGUAUCGGAGGCCGUCUUCCGGUUGGGCCGAAAGAUUUCACCCCCGACUUGAGCCCCCGCCUACGCGCCCUUUAAGCCCAGUGAAUCCGAACAACGUUCGCACGGUUCGUCUUACCGCGGCUGCUGGCAC